UGGGUCCAUAGUUAAACGGAUAUAACUACUGCCUUCUAAGCAGUUAUUCUAGGUUCGAUUCCUAGUGGACCUGU
RNAcentral lists this transfer RNA (74 nucleotides) under uncultured Cryomorphaceae bacterium. RNAcentral describes it as "tRNA-Arg(tct)". It matches the Rfam family "tRNA". From Rfam's summary of the family: Transfer RNA (tRNA) molecules are approximately 80 nucleotides in length. Their secondary structure includes four short double-helical elements and three loops (D, anti-codon, and T loops). Lineage: Bacteria; Pseudomonadati; Bacteroidota; Flavobacteriia; Flavobacteriales; Cryomorphaceae. The record is from RNAcentral.